Long non-coding RNA from Cyprinus carpio carpio, 529 nucleotides. The record is from Ensembl. Lineage: Eukaryota; Metazoa; Chordata; Actinopteri; Cypriniformes; Cyprinidae.
CACAUGUUCAAAAAAGAACGAAACGCUUUGUGUCGUUUGGAGACGCCGCGAAAUUGCGACUGGUGCACAUUAUCUGCAUCCAAAGAUUGAGAGAGUAUUUUUCUGGGUGUUAAUUAAGUUUUGAUGUAAUUUAUGUUCGUUAAUGACAACUAAGUUCCAGAAGGAAAGGGUGGAAUUAUAUGCUCGUGAGUUUUAACACAAGCUAUAGGAGGCUGCAACUCUUCCAACGAUCAUCCGCUGCAUAACUCAAAGCGACGACCAAAACCAGCUCCAGAAAUCAAAGUCUUCAUUCAGCUUUCCAAUCCUCUGACUGAAACUGUUCGAGUGUCUCGGAGAAACUUCAAAGUGGAAGGAAAAGGGAGGGUUUUUUAAUUUCAGAUAAGGCCCCCUGAGCUGAAUGUGAACUGCUGGAACUCUAAAAGUUUACAUCUUAAUCGACGUGACCAGCUGAAUUGUGGAUUGAAGAACUCAUCUCCAGAGCCCUCAUCUCCUGGCCUCCUUUUUGCUCUAUAAUCUGUAUAAUCGAAAC